RNAcentral lists this non-coding RNA (23 nucleotides) under Cricetulus griseus (Chinese hamster). The record is from RNAcentral. Lineage: Eukaryota; Metazoa; Chordata; Mammalia; Rodentia; Cricetidae.
AUGGUAACCUGGACUGAGCUGUU